GCAGCACUUGCCCCAGCACUCGUUAAAGCGAGCGGUGGAAAGAGUCGGUGAAACAUGAUGAAGGGUUUUAUGAACGUUAAAAAAUCUCCCGUCCCCUCGUGAAAGACCAUGCAUUUGUCCCACGCUUAACCCCAGGAAGAGUGAUGGUCGGGGGCUUUCCAUCAGCGUCUACCCCUGGAAGCGAGAGGUGGAGCAGGCUUCGACCUGGAGAGACGCCAAACUGUACAAUUCCCCCCCUGAUGCUAAUGGCACCUAGCACAGAAGCUCUGAAGCAUAAAAAACAGUGGACUUUACAUAUCGACGCUGCAGUAGAUCCGUGUCGGACUGUGUGGGCAAAUACUUGAUGAGUGUGUCUUGACUUGCUGAGGUGCCAAGUCAGGAGAAACUAGUCAAAGAGAGGAGGGGAGUUCAGAUAUUCUGACAAGAAGUAUCGGAAAGCCAAUUCGGAUCUACGGCUGUCGUUUACAGCUAAAUUAUUUUUAAUCUUAUGUGAUUACAUCUUAAAUAAAAACUUUGGACAGGAGGAUUGCUGAAUUCAAAAGUUUAAUACAUUUUGUCAAUGUAAAUACCAGUGAAUCAACAUUUACUUACAGGAGCGCCACUGCUAAACUAACCUUUAAAGCAAUGGUAAAACAUUUGGGGAAAUAACCUUAUUCUUGUUCUUGUGGAACUUUCAAUAAGAGGAUUGUCGUGUCUGGACGUUAAAUAUGUAUGUAAUAUCACAUAUAAGAGCUGAUGAAAUCCCUGCUUCAGUUGCACCAAUAUGUGUGAUUAUUCCACAGGCCUUUAUUAAACAUGUGACAUUGUAUCAUGACCCAGACAUAACGUCCUGAUGUUGUAGACUGUAAAUAAAGAUGGUCGACAUGUCUCCACUUCCUUCCACUA
Molecule: long non-coding RNA, 885 nt
Organism: Hippoglossus stenolepis (Pacific halibut)
Lineage: Eukaryota; Metazoa; Chordata; Actinopteri; Pleuronectiformes; Pleuronectidae
Exons: 3
Source: RefSeq, a predicted model, not a curated record